CGCUACUGGCGCAGCAGGGGCGAAAGCUUAGCAAAUUGAGAAAGCAAGGCAAGGAGAAUCCGAGUGGUAGCUGCUAAAUGAUCCUGGACAGAUCUAAGCCACUGUGAAUACUUCAC
Molecule: ribosomal RNA, 116 nt
Filed under: uncultured archaeon
Lineage: Archaea
Description: partial 16S ribosomal RNA
Source: RNAcentral